Molecule: ribosomal RNA, 253 nt
Filed under: uncultured bacterium
Lineage: Bacteria
Description: partial 16S ribosomal RNA
Rfam family: Bacterial small subunit ribosomal RNA
Source: RNAcentral
UACGUAGGGACCGAGCGUUGUCCGGAAUCAUUGGGCGUAAAGAGCGUGUAGGCGGCCUGUUAAGUCUUGCGUGAAAUCUCGGGGCUCAACCCCGAGCGGUCGUGAGAAACUGGCAGGCUAGAGUGCGGGAGAGGAGAGUGGAAUUCCUGGUGUAGCGGUGAAAUGCGCAGAUAUCAGGAAGAACACCAAUGGCGAAAGCAGCUCUCUGGGACGGUACUGACGCUGAGACGCGAAAGCGUGGGGAGCGAACAGG